ACUCGCUAUCUAGAAAUUCAAUCCACUAUCUUAUUCCAGUCAACAUUCAGAAAAUUAAUUUAUUUGACUGCAAUAAAUAAUCAAACUUUAAUUUAAUAUCAGUUAUUCCUUAUAUAUUUUUCAUUAUCUAUAGGAUACUGUGGCUACUCCUGAGCAUAAUGAAAAAUACAAAUAACCUUAAUUCAAUAUCAGUAAUACCUUAUAUAUUUUUCAUUAUCUAUAGGAUGCUGUGGCUACUCCUGAGCAUAAUGAAAAAUACAAAUAACCUUAUAUGACAUUGAAUGACUAUUUAAAAAUAAAUUAUGAAUCCAUAUGAAUUCUCGGGUUAACUUUAAAUCAAUAUUAUCUUAUAAAAAUACCAUAAGUGAACAUAUACUAUGAUUAGGAUGCUGUGGCUACUCCUAAACAUAGUUAAUCUUACAAGUCCAUAUAUGAUAUGAAUAACCGAAAAUUUCAUAUUAUUCUAAAACGCAGCGGAAAGAUAAAAGUUCAAAAUAAUUUUCUUUACAACUUUAUGUGACUCAAAAAUUAUAAACUGUAUGAAGUCUAUAUUCUCUACUAAAAUUUUUAUGAUCACCUUAUAUAUGUUUAGAGUAAUAAUGCAAAAAUAUUUUGUAAAAUAUUAAACUAAACAUACUACUUUAUAUCAUGAAUAAACAAACGAGUAGAACAGAAAUUAUAUAUAACAAAUACCAAAAGUUAUACAUAAUUUUAAUAUAUAGACUUCUUCAUAAAUAAGUCACAUUAUAAAAAAAAAAAAAUAUAUAUA
Molecule: long non-coding RNA, 769 nt
Filed under: Ananas comosus (pineapple)
Lineage: Eukaryota; Viridiplantae; Streptophyta; Magnoliopsida; Poales; Bromeliaceae
Description: long non-coding RNA (ACOM_LNC020458)
Source: RNAcentral